RNAcentral lists this long non-coding RNA (831 nucleotides) under Nicotiana benthamiana. Its description in RNAcentral is "long non-coding RNA (NBEN_LNC006016)". The record is from RNAcentral. Lineage: Eukaryota; Viridiplantae; Streptophyta; Magnoliopsida; Solanales; Solanaceae.
CAAUGUUAUUCAACAGCCUUUCUCAUACUUGAGUGUAUCAAAUUUCCCUAUGGAUCUUAGGGGAUCCCGGGCAAUGCUCAUACUCAGGUUUACAUAGCCAAACAGAAAAGUGCAGGGUGGAAGGGCCAGCCCUUAUGUGUCCAAGAUCAAAGGGAACUUCCGGGUGUCAAGGCAAGGCUCACACAAGAGGGGAGAACCAAGUAUCUAAAGAGUAUAGUAGAAGUGUAGAACAGAGAUUUAUACAAACUAAGUUUGAAAUAGUGAGCAGUAAAUGGUGAUUUGAAAACAGGUGUAGUUGUAAACCUCAAACUACACAGAAUCAGAAAUCAUUCAAAGAGGUAAGAGAUUAUGGGAUACAUUGUAUAACCCCCAGCAAGGGUCUAGUUUGGUCAUGCACAGCAAUAGCUGAUGCUGGCAUAGACACAAACCACCCAAAGGAACACAUAUAGGGGAUUUGCGGGUUUGGGAUUCAUAAGGUGGCAAGUGCAUAGAAAAUGACUGACAGAGUGCACACAUAGGGUAGCAUUAACUUAAAAAUGGGAAGGGAACAUAUUUCAGCAUGUUAGUAACAUGACUGGAUUACAAAAUCAUGAGCAGAAGUAAACAAGAAUGAGAAACUGAGGCAACUUAAAGAAACAUAUUGUUGUCUAGACUAAAAAAACUAACUAGGACAUACCAGUAGAGAAGCAAAGUGCAGAAAGGUAAAGCAAACAAGAGUCCACAAUCUAGCCUUGGCUUUUAGCCGGCUAGACAUAGUAAUAGCACAAGUAGCAAUAAAGAAAAGAUAGAAUUUUAAGUGUAAGUGUGUGUUCUGAACUUAAGUUUUGUUCG